GACUGUCGGAUCGUUGAAUGCGUCCAUUAUCCCACGCUGAUACUCAGCCCGAGAGGUAUCCCAAGAGCCUGGCUCCGCUGACGAUUCAGGCGAAAGUCUCCGAAACUGAUCUGCCCAUUCGCUGAUUUUUAAAUCAGGCGGUGGCUUCAGGCUCUGAAACACCUUCGUCAAUACCGUCUUCAGUGUCGGAUGACAAGACAGGGUUAUGGACAUGGAUUUCGACAUUUUCAAGUUCAUUGAGUGCUUCGUAUAUUUGUUCUUUUAACAGAUUCUUAACCUCAGAGAUAGACUCAGCAGAGAAAACCUCGGCAGCAGCCUUGGUUGGCAAUGAGAGCAGUUUCGCCCUCAUGUUAGUGGUCGCUUCCAUCCAUGCCGUUUCAAUAUCAGAGGCUGGAAUUAGCUUUUCCUCCAUUUGGGCUUUUUCCAUUUCCAUAAUGUCAGCCUUUGCCCUGGUCAGCCGCAUUCUGUGUGUCGUGUAGUCAUCUUCAGGUAAGUCUCUUUUUAGAUUACCCAUCCUCAGAAAUUGGAUGUAUGCCCUGACCACUGGGACAAGUUCAUACUUGCCACGUUCUAACUUUGGAAUAACGCCUUCUUUUGCGAGUUGGUUAAUCCGCUGCGGAGUCAGGUCUAACAACCUGCAUAUCGUGUCAAGAGAUACUGUCGCUGCCAUUGAUUAACUCUGCUUUCUUUCCGGUGAAGUCUUCCCAACGCUUAACAAUCACAUCGCAAUACUUUGGGUCAAGUUCCAUCAAUCUGGCAUAUCGACCAUGCUUUUCUGCUGCCAGCAAUGUGGUUCCACUUCCACCAAAACUAUCUAAAACAAUAUCUCCACCUUUUGUAUUGUUAAGCAUCUGAUACUCAAAGAGAGCAACAGGCUUCAUUGUGGGGUGUUCACCAUUUCGUGAGGGUUUAUCAAACUCGGUGAUAGCUGGUUCUCCCCGAAAGCUAUUUAGGUAGUGCCUCGUGUAUCACCUUCGGGGGUAGAGCACUGUCAUGGUAGUGGGGUCCAUUGCGGAUUACUGCGCCAUAGCAAACUCCGAAUACCAACGAGUCUAGUUCGGCAGACAGACGGCGGGUGCUAAGGUCCGUCGUCAAAAGGGAAACAGCCCUAACCUACAGCUAAGGUCCCCAAGUCAUCACUAAGUGGGAAAGCAUGUGGGAAUCCCAAAACAACCAGGAGGUUGGCUUAGAAGCAGCCAUCCUUUAAAGAAAGCGUAACAGCUCACUGGUCUAAAUAAGGGUUCCUGCGGCGAAAAUGUAACGGGGCUAAAGUGAUGCACCGAAGCUUAGGGUUCAGUCUUUGACUGAGCGGUAGCGGAGCGUUCCGUAAGCGAGUGAAGCGGGAGGGUAACCGACCGUGGACGUAUCGGAAGUGCGAAUGCUGACAUGAGUAGCGACAAAGAGGGUGAGAUGCCCUCUCGCCGAAAGACCAAGGGUUCCUGCUUAAAGCUAAUCUGAGCAGGGUAAGCCGGCCCCUAAGACGAGCCCGAAGGGGGUAGUCGAUGGGAACCACGUUAAUAUUCGUGGGCCUGGUGGUGUGUGACGGAUCACGUGUGUUGUCUGACCUUAUCGGAUUGGUCAGGCUUCGAAGUGGUUCCAGGAAAUAGCCCCACCGUAUAGACCGUACCCGAAACCGACACAGGUGGUCAGGUAGAGUAUACCAAGGCGCUUGAGAGAAGUAUCCUGAAGGAACUCGGCAAAUUGCCUCCGUACCUUCGGAAGAAGGAGGCCCCACUUCUGCGCAAGCAGUUGUGGGGGGCACAGGCCAGGGGGUAGCGACUGUUUAGCAAAAACACAGGACUCUGCUAAGUCGGCUUCAAGACGACGUAUAGGGUCUGACGCCUGCCCGGUGCCGGAAGGUUAAGAGGAGGAGUGCAAGCUCCGAAUUGAAGCCCCGGUAAACGGCGGCCGUAACUAUAACGGUCCUAAGGUAGCGAAAUUCCUUGUCGGGUAAGUUCCGACCUGCACGAAUGGCGUAACGACUUCCCCACUGUCUCCAGGAUAUGCUCAGCGAAAUUGAAUUCUCCGUGAAGAUGCGGAGUACCCGCGGUUAGACGGAAAGACCCCGUGCACCUUUACUGCAGCUUCAGAGUGGCAUUAGGAAAGAAUUGUGUAGCAUAGGUGGGAGGCUUUGAAGCACCGGCGCCAGCUGGUGUGGAGCCAUAGGUGAAAUACCACCCUGUUGUUUUCUGAUGUCUAACCUCGCGCCGUUAGCCGGCGUAGGGACCCUCUGUGGCGGGUAGUUUGACUGGGGCGGUCGCCUCCUAAAGAGUAACGGAGGCGCGCGAUGGUAGGCUCAGGCCGGUUGGAAACCGGCUGUUAGAGUGCAAUGGCAUAAGCCUGCCUGACUGCGAGACUGACGAGUCGAGCAGAGACGAAAGUCGGUCAUAGUGAUCCGGUGGUCCCUCGUGGAAGGGCCAUCGCUCAACGGAUAAAAGGUACGCCGGGGAUAACAGGCUGAUGAUUCCCAAGAGCUCAUAUCGACGGAAUCGUUUGGCACCUCGAUGUCGGCUCAUCACAUCCUGGGGCUGGAGCAGGUCCCAAGGGUUUGGCUGUUCGCCAAUUAAAGUGGUACGUGAGCUGGGUUCAGAACGUCGCGAGACAGUUUGGUCCCUAUCUGCCGUGGGCGUCGAUACUUGAGAGGAGUUGCCCCUAGUACGAGAGGACCGGGGUGAACAUGCCUCUGGUGUACCUGUCGUUCCGCCAGGAGCGCAGCAGGGUAGCUAUGCAUGGACGGGAUAACCGCUGAAAGCAUCUAAGCGGGAAGCCUCCCUCAAGAUAAGGUAUCUUCGAGUCGUGAUAGACCAUCACGUUGAUAGGCCGGAUGUGGAAGCGCAGUAAUGUGUGGAGCUAACCGGUCCUAAUAACUCUGAUCAUGCUUGAU
This 2884-nucleotide ribosomal RNA is filed under the name freshwater metagenome. Its description in RNAcentral is "bacterial LSU rRNA". The stretch from base 737 to 2884 matches the Rfam family "Bacterial large subunit ribosomal RNA". The record is from RNAcentral.